AAUCCAUUGUGCGGGCAUUUUUGAAUCAACAUUUUGAAGUGUUCCUACACCUCAUAGAAACUUUAUCCUUCCAUCUGUCUAAAUCUAGCCAUCUCUCUUCUUAAUU
Gossypium arboreum is the source of this 106-nucleotide small nucleolar RNA. It matches the Rfam family "Plant small nucleolar RNA R71". Rfam says of the family: R71 is a member of the C/D box family of snoRNAs containing the C (UGAUGA) and D (CUGA) box motifs. Multiple nearly identical copies of this snoRNA have been identified in Arabidopsis, and it is thought to function as a 2'-O-ribose methylation guide for 18S ribosomal RNA. The record is from Rfam. NCBI's taxonomy places the organism in Eukaryota, Viridiplantae, Streptophyta, Magnoliopsida, Malvales, Malvaceae.